UCUGGUGGCACUAGAGCGGGAGUCACACCUGACCCCAUUCCGAACUCAGCCGUUAAGCCCCGCAUCGCCGAUGGUACUAUACUCAAGAGUAUGGAAGAGUAGGUCGCCGCCAGAU
This 115-nucleotide ribosomal RNA is filed under the name Chlamydiales bacterium. The record is from RNAcentral. Lineage: Bacteria; Pseudomonadati; Chlamydiota; Chlamydiia; Chlamydiales.